UUGGAGAGUUUGAUCCUGGCUCAGGAUGAACGCUGGCGGCGUGCCUAAUACAUGCAAGUCGAGCGAACAGAUAAGGAGCUUGCUCCUUUGACGUUAGCGGCGGACGGGUGAGUAACACGUGGGUAACCUACCUAUAAGACUGGAAUAACUCCGGGAAACCGGGGCUAAUGCCGGAUAACAUUUAGAACCGCAUGGUUCUAAAGUGAAAGAUGGUUUUGCUAUCACUUAUAGAUGGACCCGCGCCGUAUUAGCUAGUUGGUAAGGUAACGGCUUACCAAGGCAACGAUACGUAGCCGACCUGAGAGGGUGAUCGGCCACACUGGAACUGAGACACGGUCCAGACUCCUACGGGAGGCAGCAGUAGGGAAUCUUCCGCAAUGGGCGAAAGCCUGACGGAGCAACGCCGCGUGAGUGAUGAAGGUCUUCGGAUCGUAAAACUCUGUUAUUAGGGAAGAACAAAUGUGUAAGUAACUGUGCACGUCUUGACGGUACCUAAUCAGAAAGCCACGGCUAACUACGUGCCAGCAGCCGCGGUAAUA
This 539-nucleotide ribosomal RNA is filed under the name Staphylococcus sp. Its description in RNAcentral is "bacterial SSU rRNA". It matches the Rfam family "Bacterial small subunit ribosomal RNA", at positions 1 to 525 of the family's 1533-position model. The record is from RNAcentral. Lineage: Bacteria; Bacillati; Bacillota; Bacilli; Caryophanales; Staphylococcaceae.